AUGAAAUCCAGUUCGGGUCAGAGAAGGGGAAGUCAGCAAUACGAAAUCCAGUCCAGGUCAGAGAAGGAGAAGUCAGCAAUACGAAAUCCAGUCCAGGUCAGAGAAGGAGAAGUCAGCAAUACGAAAUCCAGUCCAGGUCAGAGAAGGAGAAGUCAGCAAUACGAAAUCCAGUCCAGGUCAGAGAAGAAGUCAGCAAUACGAAAUCCAGUCCAGGUCAGAGAAGGAGAAGUCAGCAAUACGAAAUCUAGUCCGGGUCAGAGAAGGAGAAAUCAGAAACACGAAAUCCAGUGCGGGUCAGAGAAGGAGAAGUCAGCAAUAUGAAAUCCAGUCCAGGUCAGAGAAUGAGAAGUCAGCAAUAUGAAAUCCAGUUCGGGUCAGAGAUGGAGUAGUCAGCAAUACGAAAUCCAGUCCAGGUCAGAGAAGGAGAAGUCAGCAAUACGAAAUCCAGUCCAGGUCAGAGAAGGAGAAAUCAGAAACACGAAAUCCAGUGCGGGUCAGAGAAGGAGAAGUCAGCAAUACGAAAUCUAGUCCGGGUCAGAGAAGGAGAAAUCAGAAACACGAAAUCCAGUGCGGGUCAGAGAAGGAGAAGUCAGCAAUAUGAAAUCCAGUCCAGGUCAGAGAAUGAGAAGUCAGCAAUAUGAAAUCCAGUUCGGGUCAGAGAUGGAGAAGUCAGCAAUACGAAAUCCAGUCCAGGUCAGAGAAGGAGAAAUCAGAAACACGAAAUCCAGUGCGGGUCAGAGAAGGAGAAGUCAGCAAUACGAAAUCCAGUCCAGGUCAGAGAAGGAGAAGUCAGCAAUACGAAAUCCAGUCCAGGUCAGAGAAGGAGAAGUCAGCAAUACGAAAUCCAGUCCGUGUCAUACACAGAGCCAAAGCGUAGAAUGCAGCCCGGCAACUAAUGCAUAAGAUCAACACAAAGCAGUCCAGAGAAAACCCUUACAGUUCCAACCCGCACAGCUAUGGAUAAUCCAGAUUAAAUUUACAUUCACAGGAGUCUUCCCAAAGCACGUCUUCCCAAACAGCUCACACGGACACACGAACACCCAACAACACUUUGCCGACUGCAAAGGUGAUCCAUUUCCCAAACCCACUUUUAUUCACAAAUCAUCCUCAGAGCUAGAACCAGACCAGGCCCCACCAGGCCUCCUUUCAGCUGAAGCCCCUUGCCGAUCCCUCCACCCAGCCCAUCUUUUAUCCAUACCCAUAAUCCCCCAAGACCCAGCUGGACUCCCACUGUGCCAACCCUCAAACGUGUCACUACUUUCUUCCUCUUCGAGUGCACCUAGUAGUAUGAUUACUCAAAGACUCCAUCACAACACUCUCUCCCGGUGUAGAGUUGGGAGGUUUUCUUUCAAAAAGGAUGCACAGGUUUUACUAUGAUUAGAAAGUCUAAAAUGGCUACCGGGUUGCUGUGAGUUUUUCAGACUGUCUCGCCGUGUUCCGGCAGCAUCCUCUCCUGACGUUCCGCCUGCAUCUGUGGCUGGCAGCCUUAGAGGUUUGUUUAGUCCAAAACACCAAGUUGGUUCGUGCCUUUGUCUCCUUGGAACCGGACCCUUAAGCCAAUCCAGGGGUCAUCUGCAUUCCCACGUUGGGACCCCCAAAGGCUAUCCAGCCCAACCCCAGACAGCCAUGCAAAAAGACACAAUCAAAUCCCUCCCAACAGAUCCAGUCUCUGCUUACAAACUUCCAGGGAAGGAGGCUGUUAUGAAUGAUUGGGGGUAGGAAGGAUCCAUGCUCCUUCGCCCCCCCCCCAAUCUGUCCCUCCCUGAUAAAACCCAACGGCAUUUCCUUGGAGCCAAGAAUAGCGGCCGGAGGAUGACCGCAAGGAAGGGUCCGGUCUAUCAGGAGGUCAAUGGUGGAGCCUGUGGUCAGAGAUGCCUUGGCCUAAAAAUAAGGAGAGGAACCAAACAACAGAGGAGGAGAUAGGCUCUGAAAAGUGGGGUGGGGGGUUCACCAAUGGGAUCAUUUUGCAUUGCGGCAAGAGGCCAAUGCACAGAGCAAAGCCUUUGGGAAAUUGCAGACUUGGACUACAAGUCCCAUCACCCCCAUUGAAGGGUCACUAAACCAACUAGCUUGCAUUGCUGCAAGAAGACAAUGCACAGAGCAGCAGAGCCUUUGGGAAAUCACUUACUUGGAUUACAAGUCCCAUCAUCCCCAAUGAGGAGGUUCACUAGUAGGACCAGUUUGCAUUGCUGCAAGAGGUCAAUGCAGAGGGCAAAGCCUUUGGGAAAUUACUUACUUGGACUACAAUUCCCAUCAUCCCCAUUGAAGGGUCACUAAACCAACUAGCUUGCAUUGCUGCAAGAAGACAAUGCACAGAGCAGCAGGGCCUUUGGGAAAUUACUUACUUGGAUUGCAAGUCCCAUCAUCCCUAAAUGGGAGGUUCACUAGU
Long non-coding RNA from Anolis carolinensis (green anole), 2389 nucleotides. Lineage: Eukaryota; Metazoa; Chordata; Lepidosauria; Squamata; Anolidae. The record is from Ensembl.